AACCAAGUAAUAGAAGAUGGAGAAGGAACCAUAGGAGGAAAGGGCUGGAGACCAAAUAAUAGAAGAUGGAGAAGAAAGCAUAGGAGGAAAGGUUGGACAUCAAAAAAUAGAAGAUGGAGAAGAAGUCCUAGGAGGAAAGGUUGGAGAUCAUAAUAGAUGGGGAAGAAGUCAUAGGAGGAAAGGUUGGAGACCAAAUAAUAGGAGAUGGAGAAGAAAGCGUAGGAGGAAAGGUUGGAGAUCAUAAUAGAUGGAAAAGUAAACAUAGGAGGAAAGGUUGGAGAUCAAAUAGUAGGUCCUUCCCAAUUCUACAAUUCAUCCUUCCAUCUAGUCCUCGACUUGUGAACGGAGCAUGCACAGAGUAUUCCAUAUUUAGAUAGGAGAUAGAUGAGCAUCUUUUCUGCCAAAUGGGAGUCAGACUAGAUGACCUCUGGGGUUCCCUUCCAAUUUUAUAAUUCACCCUUCCAUCCGAUCCUACAAACCAUGCAAAAGUCUAUGUUGGCUUCGAAAUACUCUUGGAAAGGAAUCAAUCGAUUUGUUUUGGUUGGAAGAGAUCCAAAUAUCCGAAGGAAUUUCCAAAAGCACACGGCGCCCGCCUUCCGAUACCUCUUUCCUUCCUGUUUGAUCGUGUCCUUUUUUUCCGUGUACAAGCCGGUCUUUGCAACGAAACGAGAAAAAUAAAAAUAAAGAAAUACAAACCGCAAAACGACCAACGACAUCCAAUCCAUCCGUAGUUCUGUCUGUAUGCAAAACAAGAAAAAAAAAACUGAGAAAAGAUAAAAAAAUAAUCAUAAUAUUCAAGCAAAACCUUGUGCUGUGGUGUAGUUUUUAGAUGUUUGUAAACAAUGGGGGAAAAAAACGACAAAUCAGGAAACGAGGGGGAAAAAACGCAUUCCGUUGUGGUCUCUGGUUCGUUCCAUUUUGUAUAAAAAAUAAGACAAAAAAUAAUAUAAAAUAAAAUAAAAUAAACCAGAAGCCAAGAAUGAGAUGACGGCACAGCUUUCCGUGUCGAGCCAAGUGUGUAUGUUGUGUGUCUGGAGUGGGGGGAAAGCAAGGUUUGUUGUGUGCACUUUUGGGUCAACGCAGGAAUGGAAAUGAAACCGAGUAAAAAAUGUUGUAUUAUGUCCGGCUUCGGCCAAACACCAGACUCUCGACUCCCUUCCGCCUCUGGUAUUAUGAACUCAUAGUCGAUACAAAUCAAUGUAAAAAUGGAGAUUAAAUAAAAAUCCAAUAAAAAGAGUUUGAAAAAAAAAUAAUAAAAUAUCGGAACCGUU
Molecule: non-coding RNA, 1271 nt
Organism: Anolis sagrei ordinatus
Lineage: Eukaryota; Metazoa; Chordata; Lepidosauria; Squamata; Anolidae
Source: RefSeq, a predicted model, not a curated record